This 312-nucleotide ribosomal RNA is filed under the name bacterium A03-7. RNAcentral describes it as "bacterial SSU rRNA". It matches the Rfam family "Bacterial small subunit ribosomal RNA", at positions 136 to 482 of the family's 1533-position model. The record is from RNAcentral.
GUUCGGAACAACUCAGGGAAACUUGAGCUAAUACCGGAUGAGCCCUUAGGGGGAAAGAUUUAUCGCCGAAAGAGCGGCCCGCGUUAGAUUAGCUAGUUGGUGAGGUAAAGGCUCACCAAGGCUACGAUCUAUAGCUGGUCUGAGAGGAUGAUCAGCCACACUGGGACUGAGACACGGCCCAGACUCCUACGGGAGGCAGCAGUGGGGAAUCUUGCGCAAUGGGCGAAAGCCUGACGCAGCCAUGCCGCGUGAAUGAUGAAGGUCUUAGGAUUGUAAAAUUCUUUUACCAGGGACGAUAAUGACGGUACCUGG